UCUGAGGAACAAACUCGUCCAGUCUGUGUCCAUUGUAAGAUAUUUCACCUGAACACUGUGGAAACAAAAAGGGAAAAGACCAGAAAAAAGGAGGACCAAGCAACAGUGUUAACCUGCAACAGCAAGAAGAAUAAACACACACUUGAAGAAAUUGUUGAGUACCCACAGAUAAAACGCGCUUAGCAGUGUUCCACAGUGUUGGAAGUGCCUUCCCUUCAACAAUCUCGCACUCGGCCUCCACUUUUAAACUCUCGUACCUCACUUCUAUGAUGACGUUCCAUGGCUCCAAGCUUUGUGACAUCAACGACCCUUCUUCCUUUCUCGGACAUGGACUCAUCGCCAUCAUCAAGGAGAGUCGAUCU
Long non-coding RNA from Arabidopsis lyrata subsp. lyrata, 362 nucleotides. RefSeq lists it as uncharacterized. The record is from RefSeq and is a predicted model, not a curated record. The transcript is spliced from 4 exons. Lineage: Eukaryota; Viridiplantae; Streptophyta; Magnoliopsida; Brassicales; Brassicaceae.